RNAcentral lists this ribosomal RNA (600 nucleotides) under Cladosporium halotolerans. Its description in RNAcentral is "partial large subunit ribosomal RNA". It matches the Rfam family "Eukaryotic large subunit ribosomal RNA", at positions 36 to 657 of the family's 3401-position model. Lineage: Eukaryota; Fungi; Ascomycota; Dothideomycetes; Cladosporiales; Cladosporiaceae. The record is from RNAcentral.
UUGCAUAUCAAUAAGCGGAGGAAAAGAAACCAACAGGGAUUGCUCUAGUAACGGCGAGUGAAGCAGCAAUAGCUCAAAUUUGAAAUCUGGCGUCUUCGGCGUCCGAGUUGUAAUUUGUAGAGGAUGCUUCUGGGCAGCCACCGACCUAAGUUCCUUGGAACAGGACGUCAUAGAGGGUGAGAAUCCCGUAUGCGGUCGGAAAGGCACCCUACACGUAGCUCCUUCGACGAGUCGAGUUGUUUGGGAAUGCAGCUCUAAAUGGGAGGUAAAUUUCUUCUAAAGCUAAAUAUUGGCCAGAGACCGAUAGCGCACAAGUAGAGUGAUCGAAAGAUGAAAAGCACUUUGGAAAGAGAGUUAAAAAGCACGUGAAAUUGUUGAAAGGGAAGGGAUUGCAACCAGACUUGCUCGCGGUGUUCCGCCGGUCUUCUGACCGGUCUACUCGCCGCGUUGCAGGCCAGCAUCGUCUGGUGCCGCUGGAUAAGACUUGAGGAAUGUAGCUCCCUCGGGAGUGUUAUAGCCUCUUGUGAUGCAGCGAGCGCCGGGCGAGGUCCGCGCUUCGGCUAGGAUGCUGGCGUAAUGGUUGUAAUCCGCCCGUCUUGA